UACAGAGGUCUCAAGCGUUGUUCGGAUUCAUUGGGCGUAAAGGGUGUGUAGGUGGCGCCGUAAGUGGGGUGUGAAAUCUCGGGGCUUAACUCCGAAACUGCAUUCCAUACUGCGGUGCUUGAGGACUGGAGAGGAGACUGGAAUUCAUGGUGUAGCAGUGAAAUGCGUAGAGAUCAUGAGGAAGACCAGUGGCGAAGGUGGGUCUCUGGACAGUUCCUGACACUGAGACACGAAGGCCAGGGGAGCAAACGGG
This 253-nucleotide ribosomal RNA is filed under the name uncultured bacterium. RNAcentral's name for it is "partial 16S ribosomal RNA". It matches the Rfam family "Bacterial small subunit ribosomal RNA", at positions 524 to 776 of the family's 1533-position model. The record is from RNAcentral.